CAGUUAUAAUUCUCACAAAAGCUUGAUGAUGUGAGUUAUUUUAUCAUUUGCAUUUUACAGAUGAGGAAACAGGUUUGGAGAAGAUAAAUACCUUGCCCAAAAAUGUAGCAUGUCCAAUCCUCUUUCCUCAGCUAGAGGCUGGGAUGAAGCUGGCCAAGGGAGUGUCUUCUCCCUAAAGUUGCAAGUAUUUCAGAAUCAGGAGCCCUGCAGAGUCCUGAGUUAAAGAUUAACCAUGGAAAGAAUAAAAUCAAAUGGAAAAAUGUAGCAACACGGCUGUCUACAAAACAGAAAAGAAAUCUUAAAGGUAUUUUAAGAGGUCACAACCAUCUUUGGAGCAUGCCCAGGAGAGAAGGAGGUGGAUCUAGUUCCUCCUGGAAUGGCUUUGGUGAUGCCCUUUGCUGCGGACAGACUACAUUCCGCUCCAACACCCCUUCCUCCUGUUUUUUUUUCUUUGCCUCCCCUCCUCUCCCACAUCUCUAUUCCUCCCAGCCUUUCUUCACUCCUCUGUAUGCCCAUCAUUCUCCUCCACCUCCAAGGUCACAGGCAUCACCAUGUAAGCCUCCCAUCCCAGAAAACCAGCCUCCAAGAUAACCCCAUGAUCCCCACCUCCUUGUGUGUACGUCCUUGUGUAGGACCCUCCUGCAUUCAGCGGGGCUGAGCUGUGUUAGCACUGGGAUAUAUGGCAAUGACAAGGCGGCAUGUGACUUCCAAAGUUAAGGUCACUUUGCUCUCUCGGAUCACUAAGCCAGUUGUCAUGUUGUGAGGAGGCUCAAGUUGUCCUGUGGUGGGUCCCUGUGACAAGGAACUGAGCUCUCCUGCUGACAGCCAGCAGUGCCUUCCCAACCAUUAGAGUGAGUCACCCUAGAAGCAAAUUCUCCAGCUCCAGUGCAUCCUUUAGAUAACUGCCACUCUGGUCACCAUCUUGUCUACGAUCUCAUGAGAAACCUCAGCCAGAACCACCCAGCUAAGUUGCCUCUGAAUUCCUGAGCCACAGAAACUAGGAGAUAAUAAAUGUUUACUGUUUAAGACUCUAAAUUUGGAGUAAUUUGCUAUUCGGCCAUAGAAACUAACACUCAUUUCAUCGUACCUGACACUGCUA
RNAcentral lists this long non-coding RNA (1099 nucleotides) under Homo sapiens (human). Its description in RNAcentral is "HSALNT0340048". The record is from RNAcentral. Lineage: Eukaryota; Metazoa; Chordata; Mammalia; Primates; Hominidae.